Molecule: non-coding RNA, 672 nt
Organism: Podarcis lilfordi (Lilford's wall lizard)
Lineage: Eukaryota; Metazoa; Chordata; Lepidosauria; Squamata; Lacertidae
Source: the annotation of a GenBank genome assembly
GUUGACCUGAUACAUCAUCAGCCUUUGUUAGACUUGGUCACUAGUUUCCAGGGGAGGGGUGUGGAAAGCCAAGUGGUGCCACUACAGUUCACAACCUCUGAAAGGCCCAUCAAGGCGGGUGGUGCUCCAGUUGCUAAGAGCUCAAAGGGGAAGCACAGUAACAGACAUGGCAAAAUUCAGACCAAUCAGGAGCAUGACCCGUUGCCACCGCAGAAAGCCACAAAAGAGACGUCAUGGAGGUGGAUCUGGAGGAAAAAGGAGACAGCCUGGGAAAACAAAGAGAGGUGAAGACUUUUGUGCAUCACUUAAACUAGAGGGGUGCUACAGCUUUGUAACAAAUCUGGCAGUUGGCAGCCUCCACUCAUAAAAAUGUGAUUUAUUUCUGAAGGAGCAUUCAGGUUAUUAAGCGUACUAAGUAUUGAUGGUGUUUUCUGUCUCUUUUCCAGGUCACAGGUCCCAUGGUCUCAAGAGGCAGAGGAAGAGGAGACACGACUAAAUUCCCUCUUCAUGGUCUUCUCUGUUCUUGAUCUGAAAAGCUGACCUUUCUAAAACUUCCACCAAACAUGAAAUUGAAGCAAAUUUUCCAUCAAGAGACCCAGGAUGUCUUCCCAGGAAUCAAGGAACAGAAAAACAUUUGAGCAAGGCCACCUGUCAAUAAAUGCUAGCAUUUAA